This is a transfer RNA of 70 nucleotides. It matches the Rfam family "tRNA". Rfam says of the family: Transfer RNA (tRNA) molecules are approximately 80 nucleotides in length. Their secondary structure includes four short double-helical elements and three loops (D, anti-codon, and T loops).
GUGAACAUAGUUUAACCAAAACCCUAGGCUGUGGCUCUAACAAUGAAGAUUAAAAUUCUUCUGUUCACCG